GCUGGUGUGGUGUUGUGGUUUGUGUGCUGGACUACGACUCUGGAGAUCAGGGUUCGAUUCCAUGCUUGGGCA
This is a non-coding RNA of Phrynosoma platyrhinos (Desert horned lizard), 72 nucleotides long. The record is from the annotation of a GenBank genome assembly. NCBI's taxonomy places the organism in Eukaryota, Metazoa, Chordata, Lepidosauria, Squamata, Phrynosomatidae.